RNAcentral lists this ribosomal RNA (254 nucleotides) under uncultured bacterium. Its description in RNAcentral is "partial 16S ribosomal RNA". It matches the Rfam family "Bacterial small subunit ribosomal RNA", at positions 524 to 776 of the family's 1533-position model. The record is from RNAcentral.
UACGUAGGGCGCAAGCGUUGUCCGGAAUUAUUGGGCGUAAAGAGCUCGUAGGCGGUUUGUCGCGUCUGCUGUGAAAACCUAAGGCUCAACCUUGGGCUUGCAGUGGGUACGGGCAGACUAGAGUGCGGUAGGGUGACUGGACUUCCUGGUGUAGCGGUGGAAUGCGCAGAUAUCAGGAGGAACACCGAUGGCGAAGGCAGGUCACUGGGCCGCAACUGACGCUGGAGGAGCGGAAAGCAUGGGGAGCGAACAGG